UCCGUAGGUGGAUAAUUAAGUCAGAGGUGAAAGUUUGCAGCUCAACUGUAAAAUUGCCUUUGAUACUGGUUAUCUUGAGUUAUUAUGAAGUAGUUAGAAUAUGUAGUGUAGCGGUGAAAUGCAUAGAUAUUACAUAGAAUACCAAUUGCGAAGGCAGAUUAUUAAUAAUCAACUGACACUGAUGGACGAAAGCGUGGGGAGCGAACAGGAUUAGAUACCCUGGUAGUCC
This 229-nucleotide ribosomal RNA is filed under the name uncultured bacterium. RNAcentral describes it as "partial 16S ribosomal RNA". It matches the Rfam family "Bacterial small subunit ribosomal RNA", at positions 568 to 796 of the family's 1533-position model. The record is from RNAcentral.